This 23-nucleotide non-coding RNA is filed under the name Mus musculus (house mouse). The record is from RNAcentral. Lineage: Eukaryota; Metazoa; Chordata; Mammalia; Rodentia; Muridae.
UGGAGAAUAAGACUGGCUGAUGA